RNAcentral lists this transfer RNA (72 nucleotides) under Paramuricea clavata. It matches the Rfam family "tRNA". Rfam says of the family: Transfer RNA (tRNA) molecules are approximately 80 nucleotides in length. The record is from Rfam by way of RNAcentral. Lineage: Eukaryota; Metazoa; Cnidaria; Anthozoa; Malacalcyonacea; Plexauridae.
GGCUUGCUGGUCUAGUGGUAAGAUUCUCGCUUUGGGUGUGGGAGGUCACGGGUUCGAUUCCCAUGCAAGCUG